Non-coding RNA from Trichonephila clavipes, 72 nucleotides. NCBI's taxonomy places the organism in Eukaryota, Metazoa, Arthropoda, Arachnida, Araneae, Nephilidae. The record is from the annotation of a GenBank genome assembly.
GAGGGUAUAGCUCUGUGGUAGAGCAUUCGACUGCAGAUCGAGAGCUUUCUGUUUCAACCCCGAGUGCCCUCU